Molecule: ribosomal RNA, 467 nt
Filed under: uncultured bacterium
Lineage: Bacteria
Description: partial 16S ribosomal RNA
Rfam family: Bacterial small subunit ribosomal RNA
Source: RNAcentral
GAUGAACGCUGGCGGCGCGCCUAACACAUGCAAGUCGAACGAUUAAAGCACCUUCGGGUGUGUAUAAAGUGGCGAACGGCUGAGUAACACGUGGGCAACCUGCCCCUUUCAUUGGGAUAGCCACGGGAAACCGUGGAUAAUACCGAAUACUUCGAGACUUCCGCAUGGAAGACUCGAGAAAGCUCCGGCGGAGUGGGAUGGGCCCGCGGCCUGUUAGCUUGUUGGUGGGGUAACGGCCUACCAAGGCAAUGAUGGGUAGCUGGGUUGAGAGACCGACCAGCCAGAUUGGGACUGAGACACGGCCCAGACUCCUACGGGAGGCAGCAGUGGGGAAUCUUGCACAAUGGGCGAGAGCCUGAUGCAGCGACGCCGCGUGCGGGAUGAAGGCCUUCGGGUUGUAAACCGCUUUCAGCAGGGACGAGGCGAAAGUGACGGUACCUGCAGAAGAAGCCCCGGCUAACUACGUG